CCUUCGGGGUGACGCGGCGCAGCGGGACAC
This 30-nucleotide non-coding RNA is filed under the name Actinoplanes sp. SE50/110. Lineage: Bacteria; Bacillati; Actinomycetota; Actinomycetes; Micromonosporales; Micromonosporaceae. The record is from RNAcentral.